RNAcentral lists this signal recognition particle RNA (95 nucleotides) under Akkermansiaceae bacterium. RNAcentral describes it as "Bacterial small signal recognition particle RNA". It matches the Rfam family "Bacterial small signal recognition particle RNA". From Rfam's summary of the family: The signal recognition particle (SRP) is a universally conserved ribonucleoprotein involved in the co-translational targeting of proteins to membranes. Lineage: Bacteria; Pseudomonadati; Verrucomicrobiota; Verrucomicrobiia; Verrucomicrobiales; Akkermansiaceae. The record is from Rfam by way of RNAcentral.
UGUCAGGAGUCGUGGAGAUUUGGCAAGCGAACCCCGCCAGGCCUUAAUCGGAGCAACGGUAGUUUGUCCAUGUUUGCCGCGGUUUCCUGGCGGCA